CUGGCAUCUUUACUGACAUCCUCCCUGAGCUCCUCCCUGGCAUCUUCAUUGACAUCCUCCCUGAGCUCUUCACUGGCAUCUUCACUGGCAUCCUCAAUGACAUCCUCAAUGGCAUUGUCUUGUCACCGGCAUCGUCACCAACAAUCUAACUGGAAUCUUUACUGCCAUCCUCACUGCCAUCCUCCCUUCCCACGCUUGGCAAAGCAGGUGCUGUUUUUUGCCCCUUCCUGUGUAAAGUAAGCCCUGGAAAGUUUAAUUGUCUGUCUCAUAGCCAUGGAGCUAAUCUUUUGGAUAUUAUUGUAAGCCUCCCUGCUUCUUUGUUCAAUAUCUCCACAUUUUUCCUUGUGCAAUCUAUUUCUAUAUCUUUUGUGAAAACACAUAACGUUUUAUUUCUGCCCAGUUUAGAAACUACGAAUAUAGUUAUUGUCCACUUGGGGAAAAUGUAACAAGCUUUAAAACACCAAUCAUCUCACUAUAAUUCUAUAAAUUGGUGCCAAAAAUAGCUAAUUUACAUCUUUAGAGCUGCGAUACUUAGUCUCCAUCAGGUCAUUGGUAAAUCUCUGUCCCUUUAGUCGCAACAGUUGAAGCAGUGACAUUUCAGGGUUGAACAGCGAGUGUCUCACUCAAUGUGUACAGACAAUACGAAGCAGGUAAACACCCUUGUGGUUUACUGAUAACCAGCUCCAGCCACUGAGCACCACAACUUGUGCACAAGUAAUUACAGGUAUUUCAUAUAUUUACAGUAGUUUAACCCAUAUUUAGAUAAGAUUAUUAAUUGGUAAUCUAGUCAUUUUUCACAAUUCCUACAUUCCUAUUUAUGAAUAUGCUAUUCCGCUAAUAUCUUCAGUCAGUAAACAGCAGCACAAUGCUCACACAAGCCCAACCAAGGAGUGUUACUAUGUGAGCAACUCUAUUGAUGGAAGGGAAACCACCACAACCCAGUGCGGCAUGGCACAAGCUGAACAGAGGCGGGAGAAGGAUGAACACAUUAUUAGAAGGAGAACUGCAGUAUCAGCAGGUUGAGGUUUAAUGAACGCCAGCUUUAUUAAUCACAUUUGCUCAUUUACUCCCUGUGUGGUCCCAAGUUCAACUGUUCCCACUUGAUCACACCUCUUAACCCGUUCCAAUGAUUUCGACACGGACAUGAUUUAGUGUAGAGUUUAUCCUUGAAUGCAUCAGUAAGUUUUAAGCUGCCUUUUUCUUCCCGUGUCACAUUUGGAGCUCUGCGAUGACCAUUUCUGUGACCAACAUUCACCCCGCAGUGAAGAGCUGAGAACGGUUUAAACUGCCAUGCUUAGCCAUUUUUUUCAUCUUCUCAAUGUCUCACAUGAACAACUAAGUCACUGAACACUAUGGAUUUUAUCAAGAGGGAGAGAGAAUGUCUGAAAACGAAGAAAAGAAAAGAAGACGCAUUUGUUGGGGACUAUUUACUGCAUGUGUUGCUCUAGUGAGAGUUUUGGCAGCAGGACGGUGAAUCGGGAAUCAGGAACAUUUAUGUGGGACUCAAUAAAUCUCAGUGUGAGUGUCGAUGGUAAUAAGGGAACAUAUACUAAGGAGCGUUGAUGUGUUUUAAUAUAUUUAGGAGCUCAAUGGGCUUGAUGGUAUUGUUCUUUCUGUGAGUUAAAAAGGGGUGAUGGAAAGCUGUGGUUCAUUCCAUCUGAUGUUGUAUUUUGGGCUAUAAAAAUAAGUAAAGUAAAAAAUAUAGUUAUUAAUCAUCAAUCUGUUAGCAUUGUCAUUUUAGCAUGUUGAGAUUAGCGUUUAGCUUGAGAGCCGCACACAUCUGUCAGCAUCACUUGUAUCACUAAACCCUUUUACUCUUCUCUGUUUAUGACUUUAAUUCAUGGACAAUGUGAAUGGUACAUUUAAAAAAUGUGUAUUGCAUGAACACACAGAACAUUUAGAAAGAUCUUGAUAAUGGACUUACAUUAAGGUGGUUUUGUAAAUCAACAUUGUACGUACAGGCUGAGAGAAGUUCUUUCUCUCCUGAAAUCUAUAUUCAGAAUGACCAACUCCAGGCAACGAACACUGCGUAUCAGCUUUGUCUUUCACUGUGUCUGUCUGACGUCCAUUUCUUAUUUCGGCCUCUGUCUUCCCAAGUGACUCUUGAGCUUGCGUUGUCCUUGUCCCCCCUGUUUAGAGAAACAAACCAUAAAGUUUUCCCUCUGCUUUCAACAGGAAGAAAAUCUGUUUUCCAUUUUCUUUUUUUCUGUCUGGGUCCUGCUGUUUUUCUCUCCCGCCCCUUCUCCCCCCUUCAUCUUCCCCUCCUCCCUCCCUUUCUCUGCUUUUGCUGGCUCUGCUCUCAUUCCUGCCUCCUCCCCCCUCAGCUCCUCCAGUCCUCUGUCUUCCCUCUGGAGAAUAGGGGUCAUUGCACAAAUGAUUACUCAGACCCCCGUUGCCAUGGCGAUGCUGCCACGUAACGGGCGACCGGCACGGAGCGCAGCAGAGAAGCCGAUUAGUAAGCGGGCGAUGGAGGAAGCGAGCGCCGCCUUUGUGUAGCUCCGCUUCGCCUCUGUUUCUUUCAAAUAGCUUGUGUCCUUCCGUGUGUUUUAAAGCCGGAGGAGGGUGGAGGGGGAGACGGAGAGCAGAGGAGCAGGAAGGAGCCUGCACACAUUCUGCUCACCGCCCUCCGGCUUUGUCUCCUUCUCCUGCUCGCCUGGUCUGUCUGAACGAGGCCUGCUGUUGGUUCAGCCCAGCAGACUCUCUUCUGUUCCGGCCACAGCCCAGAGUUCUCAGAUGGAAAACGUGCGCGUGAACAACAACAUUUUCAACAACAAAAUAUUUUUUCGUUCCGCACGACAAACGAAGGCGAUCUUGCUCGUCAUUGUUUAGGAAGUCCCCAUCCGUCCUUUCUGCAGAGGGAACUAUGGAAGCCCAUGAGAACCAACACUCCACUCCAGGCUCUUUAAGGAGCAGAGCAGCGCGCCUGCCGUCAAUUCCGGGACGCACACACAAGAAAAAC
Long non-coding RNA from Gasterosteus aculeatus aculeatus (three-spined stickleback), 2959 nucleotides. The record is from Ensembl. Lineage: Eukaryota; Metazoa; Chordata; Actinopteri; Perciformes; Gasterosteidae.